This 522-nucleotide ribosomal RNA is filed under the name Fusarium proliferatum. RNAcentral's name for it is "eukaryotic LSU rRNA". The stretch from base 167 to 320 matches the Rfam family "5.8S ribosomal RNA". Lineage: Eukaryota; Fungi; Ascomycota; Sordariomycetes; Hypocreales; Nectriaceae. The record is from RNAcentral.
ACAGCGGAGGGAUCAUUACCGAGUUUACAACUCCCAAACCCCUGUGAACAUACCAAUUGUUGCCUCGGCGGAUCAGCCCGCUCCCGGUAAAACGGGACGGCCCGCCAGAGGACCCCUAAACUCUGUUUCUAUAUGUAACUUCUGAGUAAAACCAUAAAUAAAUCAAAACUUUCAACAACGGAUCUCUUGGUUCUGGCAUCGAUGAAGAACGCAGCAAAAUGCGAUAAGUAAUGUGAAUUGCAGAAUUCAGUGAAUCAUCGAAUCUUUGAACGCACAUUGCGCCCGCCAGUAUUCUGGCGGGCAUGCCUGUUCGAGCGUCAUUUCAACCCUCAAGCCCAGCUUGGUGUUGGGACUCGCGAGUCAAAUCGCGUUCCCCAAAUUGAUUGGCGGUCACGUCGAGCUUCCAUAGCGUAGUAGUAAAACCCUCGUUACUGGUAAUCGUCGCGGCCACGCCGUUAAACCCCAACUUCUGAAUGUUGACCUCGGAUCAGGUAGGAAUACCCGCUGAACUUAAGCAUAUCA